CAGGGCUUUCAGGGGCCAGAAAUAGAGAAGAUUGGCCUUUCCAUUUUCUGUCUUCUAUGAUUACAGAUGCAAUGCCCCUUACUGGAUUUUAUGCAUAUAAAUGUGUUUAUAUCUCAAUGAAUAACAAAGCAUCUUUACAAGAUAUAGACAAAUAUCACAUGGUUGAAAAUACAGGACAGUUUAUCAAGCUUCCUUCGCUCAUCAAAGACAGAGAAAAGGCCUAUCCACUUCACAAAUUGAAGAUGGUCAGAGGGUGAAGCAAAAUUAGCAUGUGUGUCUCUAAUUGCUCAAUCAUGUCUUUGAGAAAAUCACUGCAAAUGACUCUCUUUCUUUGCAGGAAUAAUCGUGCACCUGCUUUUCAAAACGCAAAAGCUGGUUUUGCCUUUGUGUGUAAAAUGCGAUUAGAAGAAUUUGGGGAUC
Heterocephalus glaber (naked mole-rat) is the source of this 420-nucleotide long non-coding RNA. NCBI's taxonomy places the organism in Eukaryota, Metazoa, Chordata, Mammalia, Rodentia, Bathyergidae. The record is from Ensembl.